UAACACGUGGGUAACCUGCCCAUAAGACUGGGAUAACUCCGGGAAACCGGGGCUAAUACCGGAUAAYAUUUUGAACYGCAUGGUUCGAAAUUGAAAGGCGGCUUCGGCUGUCACUUAUGGAUGGACCCGCGUCGCAUUAGCUAGUUGGUGAGGUAACGGCUCACCAAGGCAACGAUGCGUAGCCGACCUGAGAGGGUGAUCGGCCACACUGGGACUGAGACACGGCCCAGACUCCUACGGGAGGCAGCAGUAGGGAAUCUUCCGCAAUGGACGAAAGUCUGACGGAGCAACGCCGCGUGAGUGAUGAAGGCUUUCGGGUCGUAAAACUCUGUUGUUAGGGAAGAACAAGUGCU
RNAcentral lists this ribosomal RNA (353 nucleotides) under Bacillus sp. RZ5MS13. RNAcentral's name for it is "bacterial SSU rRNA". It matches the Rfam family "Bacterial small subunit ribosomal RNA", at positions 111 to 457 of the family's 1533-position model. Lineage: Bacteria; Bacillati; Bacillota; Bacilli; Caryophanales; Bacillaceae. The record is from RNAcentral.